This 280-nucleotide long non-coding RNA is filed under the name Mytilus galloprovincialis (Mediterranean mussel). Lineage: Eukaryota; Metazoa; Mollusca; Bivalvia; Mytilida; Mytilidae. The record is from RNAcentral.
AAUUAUGCCCAUGUUUACUGAUCUAUCUUAAAGGUAAGGUAAUGGGUUCGUUGAUCCCUUUUAUUAAAAAAGAGCUCUUUCCAGGAUAUCAUAAUAAUAUAGACAAAAGGAAGGAUGUGGGGAAAGCAACAAAUGCGGCAAAAUAUGACAUAUAGAAAACAAAAUGGUUAUGGAGUAAACAUUCGUGUGACAACAACUCAGACGAUACAUAAAAAUCAGAAUAAUGAAGAAAAAGUUGGUUUCCCUAUAUACGUGUACCUGCAGUGUUGGUGUACGAGGC